This is a long non-coding RNA of Pygocentrus nattereri (red-bellied piranha), 1071 nucleotides long. RefSeq lists it as uncharacterized. The transcript has 3 exons. The record is from RefSeq and is a predicted model, not a curated record. NCBI's taxonomy places the organism in Eukaryota, Metazoa, Chordata, Actinopteri, Characiformes, Serrasalmidae.
CAGUGGCUGAGGCUGUUCGAAGGGUGCAGCCAAAUGUUGCGAGAACAACUGUGUCCUCAAUUGUUCACACUUGUUGACAUAACAGAACUGCAAGACAACUUCACAGGGGUGGCAGAGUGCCCCUUUUCACACUUGAACAGGAGGACGCUAUUUGCACAAUGGUUGUUGAAAACAAUGCCAUAAGGGAGAUAAAGAGUGCCAUUAUAGAGGACUCUACAGUAAACAACAUUGUGUAGUGAUAUACAGUACACGUAUAAUGGAACUGGAAGCAAGUGAACCACCUCACAGCUUCAUCUCCAUGGAUGAGGCUGGCUUCAACCUAACAAAACGCAGAAGGUGUGGUCGAAAUAUCAUCGGCCACAGAGCUACAGCUGAUGUGCCAUGCCAGGCCAUCGGGGCGGGAACAUAACCAUGGGUACUGCUAUCUCUGAGAAUGGUGUGCUAACGCAUAUUCCCAUUAUUGGGCCAUACAAUACAGAGCAUUUUGUCACCUUUUUAGACACUCUCUAUGGGGACCUCAUCCCUGAACAAGAGGGAUCAGAUUGGAGAUGACUUUCCAAAGUACAUCAUAGUUUGGGACAAUGUCAGUUUCCAUCGCUCCAACAUCAUCAGGCAAUGGUGUGCGAUCCACAGUAGGAUGCUGAUGAGUUCCUACCACCCUACUCCCCAUUCCUUAACCCCAUUGAGGAAUUUUUCUCAGCAUGGAGAUGGAAAGUAUAUAAUUGCCAGCCACAUACACAGAUGACCCUUCUGGCUGCCAUGGAUGCAGCUUGUGAUGACAUCACAGCAGAUGCCUGCAGAGGCUGGAUAAGGCACAAGAGAAGAUAUUCGUUGUGAUGUGGAUGAGAAUUUGUGGCCCAACAGACUGGAACGUCAGGAGGUGUAGGAAGACUGCACUGUAAUUCCUAUUGCACUGCAUGUACAGUUUUCCCUAAGGAGAUUGUCCCAUGUUCACAUUUGUACUUUUGUUUUUUCAUUUUUUUUUCUUCGUGCUCUGCAGUGCUGCCUUUUCCUUUCUGUAUCGCAUAUGACAACAAAUUACAGUAUAAACAAUAAAAGAGUAAAUAUGAA